This 116-nucleotide ribosomal RNA is filed under the name Carlito syrichta (Philippine tarsier). The record is from RNAcentral. Lineage: Eukaryota; Metazoa; Chordata; Mammalia; Primates; Tarsiidae.
AAUUAUUAUACCAACCUGAACAUAUCUGAUCCUAUCUGAUCUUGGAAGCUAAGCGGAAUUAGAUCUGGUUAGUACUUGGAUGGGACAUUGCCUAGAAAUACCAGUUGCUGUAGGUU